RNAcentral lists this ribosomal RNA (434 nucleotides) under uncultured bacterium. RNAcentral's name for it is "partial 16S ribosomal RNA". It matches the Rfam family "Bacterial small subunit ribosomal RNA", at positions 29 to 507 of the family's 1533-position model. The record is from RNAcentral.
AGCGAACGCUGGCGGCAGGCCUAACACAUGCAAGUCGAACGAACCUUUCGGGGUUAGUGGCGGACGGGUGAGUAACACGUGGGAACGUGCCUUUAGGUUCGGAAUAACUCAGGGAAACUUGUGCUAAUACCGAAUGUGCCCUUCGGGGGAAAGAUUAAUCGCCUUUAGAGCGGCCCGCGUCUGAUUAGCUAGUUGGUUGAGGUAAUGGCACACCAAGGCGACGAUCAGUAGCUGGUCUGAGAGGAUGAUCAGCCACAUUGGGACUGAGACACGGCCCAAACUCCUACGGGAGGCAGCAGUGGGGAAUCUUGCGCAAUGGGCGAAAGCCUGACGCAGCCAUGCCGCGUGAAUGAUGAAGGUCUUAGGAUUGUAAAAUUCUUUCACCGGGGACGAUAAUGACGGUACCCGGAGAAGAAGCCCCGGCUAACUUCGUG